RNAcentral lists this ribosomal RNA (430 nucleotides) under uncultured bacterium. RNAcentral describes it as "partial 16S ribosomal RNA". It matches the Rfam family "Bacterial small subunit ribosomal RNA", at positions 29 to 507 of the family's 1533-position model. The record is from RNAcentral.
ACGAACGCUGGCGGCAGGCUUAACACAUGCAAGUCGCACGCCCCGCAAGGGGAGUGGCAGACGGGUGAGUAACGCGUGGGAACAUACCCUUUCCUGCGGAAUAGCUCCGGGAAACUGGAAUUAAUACCGCAUACGCCCUACGGGGGAAAGAUUUAUCGGGGAAGGAUUGGCCCGCGUUGGAUUAGCUAGUUGGUGGGGUAAAGGCCUACCAAGGCGACGAUCCAUAGCUGGUCUGAGAGGAUGAUCAGCCACAUUGGGACUGAGACACGGCCCAAACUCCUACGGGAGGCAGCAGUGGGGAAUAUUGGACAAUGGGCGCAAGCCUGAUCCAGCCAUGCCGCGUGAGUGAUGAAGGCCUUAGGGUUGUAAAGCUCUUUCACCGAUGAAGAUAAUGACGGUAGUCGGAGAAGAAGCCCCGGCUAACUUCGUG